Molecule: ribosomal RNA, 753 nt
Filed under: uncultured Glomus
Lineage: Eukaryota; Fungi; Glomeromycota; Glomeromycetes; Glomerales; Glomeraceae
Description: SSU rRNA
Rfam family: Eukaryotic small subunit ribosomal RNA
Source: RNAcentral
GGCCUACCAUGGUGGUAACGGGUAACGGGGUGUUAGGGCACGACACCGGAGAGGGAGCCUGAGAAACGGCUACCACAUCCAAGGAUGGCAGCAGGCGCGCAAAUUACCCAAUCCCGACACGGGGAGGUAGUGACAAUAAAUAACAAUACGGGGCUCUUUAGGGUCUCGUAAUUGGAAUGAGUACAAUUUAAAUCUCUUAACGAGGAACAAUUGGAGGGCAAGUCUGGUGCCAGCAGCCGCGGUAAUUCCAGCUCCAAUAGCGUAUAUUAAAGUUGUUGCAGUUAAAAAGCUCGUAGUUGAAUUUCGGGGUCAGCAGGUUGGUCGUGCCGCUGGUAUGCACUGGUUUCGCUGAUUCCUCCUUUCUGAAGAACUGUAAUGCCAUUAAUUUGGUGUUGCAGGGAAACAGGACUGUUACUUUGAAAAAAUUAGAGUGUUUAAAGCAGGCUAACGCUUGAAUACAUUAGCAUGGAAUAAUGAAAUAGGACGUUUGAUCCUAUUUUGUUGGUUUCUAGGAUUGACGUAAUGAUUAAUAGGGAUAGUUGGGGGCAUUAGUAUUCAAUUGUCAGAGGUGAAAUUCUUGGAUUUAUUGAAGACUAACUACUGCGAAAGCAUUUGCCAAGGAUGUUUUCAUUAAUCAAGAACGAAAGUUAGGGGAUCGAAGACGAUCAGAUACCGACGUAGUCUUAACCAUAAACUAUGCCGACUAGGGAUCGGAUGAUGUUAAUUUUUUAAUGACUCAUUCGGCGCCUUACG